AUGGUAACACCGUAUUUGACCAU
This 23-nucleotide non-coding RNA is filed under the name Arabidopsis thaliana (thale cress). Lineage: Eukaryota; Viridiplantae; Streptophyta; Magnoliopsida; Brassicales; Brassicaceae. The record is from RNAcentral.